UGCGUAGGUGGCGCCAUAAGUCGGGUGUGAAAUUUCGGAGCUUAACUCCGAAACUGCAUUCGAUACUGUGGUGCUUGAGGACUGGAGAGGAGACUGGAAUUUACGGUGUAGCAGUGAAAUGCGUAGAGAUCGUAAGGAAGACCAGUGGCGAAGGCGGGUCUCUGGACAGUUCCUGACACUGAGGCACGAAGGCCAGGGAGGCAAACG
This 207-nucleotide ribosomal RNA is filed under the name uncultured bacterium. RNAcentral's name for it is "partial 16S ribosomal RNA". It matches the Rfam family "Bacterial small subunit ribosomal RNA", at positions 568 to 774 of the family's 1533-position model. The record is from RNAcentral.